CAGAUCAGGGCGGGGCUUUCGUUGGCUGACCCACAUGGGGCUGGAAAUAAGGUGAGUUUUCAUCUUUUCUAAGGGGGUUAAGGGAGGCAAGCCACCUGAAUGGUGGUUUUAACACUAUAGGGUCAGGAAUACAUAUUUGGUUCCUGACUCUAUAGUGUAAAUAUUUGGUUUACAUAUUUGGUUCCACUUAAAAACAAAAAGAAUGAAUAUUUGUUAAAGUUACAUAUAAGGAAAAGGACUAGUUUUCCUUCUGUAUAUCCUAGAGGUUGACAAAUAUUGGCAAAGCACAGAUCUUUAGUCACGCUUAGUCAAGUUUUUUUUUUUUAUCAACUCUUGUCAUUGGUCAUCAAGUUCUUACUCACCCACUCAGCGUGGCGCCACUUCCAGCAGUGUAAUGUCGUUGACUGUUUGUGUGGACUUACAAUGUGCUGGGAAUGCACGCCAGUGAUUUCUGUCAGCAGCCAUCUUGGAAACACUAAGAUGGCGGUACUAUGAAAGAAGACCC
This is a non-coding RNA of Pelobates cultripes (western spadefoot toad), 505 nucleotides long. The record is from the annotation of a GenBank genome assembly. Lineage: Eukaryota; Metazoa; Chordata; Amphibia; Anura; Pelobatidae.